This 253-nucleotide ribosomal RNA is filed under the name uncultured bacterium. RNAcentral's name for it is "partial 16S ribosomal RNA". It matches the Rfam family "Bacterial small subunit ribosomal RNA", at positions 524 to 776 of the family's 1533-position model. The record is from RNAcentral.
GACAGAGGUCCCGAGCGUUAGGCGGAAUCACUGGGCUUAAAGCGUGUGUAGGCGGAUGCCUAAGUACCUUGUGAAAUCCCACGGCUUAACCGUGGAACUGCUUGGUAUACUGGGUGUCUUGAGCCACCUAGGGGCGAGCGGAACAAACGGUGGAGCGGUGAAAUGCGUAGAUAUCGGGAGGAACACCAGUGGCGAAGGCGGUUAGCUGGCCUGUAACUGACACUGAGGCGCGAAGGCUAGGGGAGCGAACAGG